GACGAACGCUGGCGGCGUGCCUAACACAUGCAAGUGGAGCGACGAACCGGACUUCGGUCCGGGGCAAAGCCGCGAACGGGUGAGUAACACGUGGGUAACCUGCCCUGAUGAUUGGGACAACCCGAGGAAACUCGGGCUAAUACCGAAUGUGUCCAUCGGCCUCAAGGCCUUUGGGGAAAGGAAGCUUCGGCCUCCGCAUCGGGAUGGGCCCGCGGCCCAUUAGCUUGUUGGUGGGGUAAUGGCCCACCAAGGCGACGAUGGGUAGCUGGUCUGAGAGGACGAUCAGCCACACUGGGACUGAGACACGGCCCAGACUCCUACGGGAGGCAGCAGUGGGGAAUCUUGCGCAAUGCGCGAAAGCGUGACGCAGCGACGCCGCGUGGGGAAGACGGCCU
Molecule: ribosomal RNA, 395 nt
Filed under: uncultured bacterium
Lineage: Bacteria
Description: bacterial SSU rRNA
Rfam family: Bacterial small subunit ribosomal RNA
Source: RNAcentral